AAAAAUAUAACCAUCAUAAAACAAAAAUUAAAAAUAUAAAAGUAAUAGAAAAUAAAAAAUAGAUACAACCAUCAUAAAAUGGAAAACAAUGAAACCUUAAUGUAUUUCUAUCUUCUAGCGACGCCACAUGUUUUCUUCUUCUUUCUGCAUCUUCUGUAUUUAUUCUUCUUUUUUCAUUUCCAUCACCGUGCAUAUUCAUCUUCUCCAUUUUCUUCUUUAUUAUUCAAAAACAAGAAGGUGACAUUACAAUUUUCUAAAAAUAGUUAAAGUGAAAUGCAUUGAUCUUGUUUAAAAUUUGGCCCCAAACAAGCAUAAAAGAUAGCGAAAUGAGUUUUGCAA
This 339-nucleotide long non-coding RNA is filed under the name Salvia miltiorrhiza (redroot sage). Its description in RNAcentral is "long non-coding RNA (SMIL_LNC013674)". The record is from RNAcentral. Lineage: Eukaryota; Viridiplantae; Streptophyta; Magnoliopsida; Lamiales; Lamiaceae.